UGGGGAAUUUUGCACAAUGGGGGAAACCCUGAUGCAGCGACGCCGCGUGAGCGAAGAAGGUUUUCGAAUCGUAAAGCUCUGUCCUAUGGGAAGAUAAUGACGGUACCAUAGGAGGAAGCCCCGGCUAACUACGUGCCAGCAGCCGCGGUAAUACGUAGGGGGCAAGCGUUGUCCGGAAUCACUGGGCGUAAAGGGUUCGCAGGCGGAAAUGCAAGUCAGUUGUGAAAGGCAGAGGCUCAACCUCUGUAAGCAAUUGAAACUGCAUAUCUUGAGAAGAGUAGAGGUAAGUGGAAUUUUUAGUGUAGCGGUGAAAUGCGUAGAUAUUAAAAAGAAUACCGGUGGCGAAGGCGACUUACUGGGCUCAUUCUGACGCUGAGGAACGAAAGCGUGGGUAGCAAACAGG
RNAcentral lists this ribosomal RNA (403 nucleotides) under Verrucomicrobiota bacterium. Its description in RNAcentral is "Verrucomicrobia bacterium partial 16S ribosomal RNA". It matches the Rfam family "Bacterial small subunit ribosomal RNA", at positions 355 to 776 of the family's 1533-position model. The record is from RNAcentral. Lineage: Bacteria; Pseudomonadati; Verrucomicrobiota.